Molecule: long non-coding RNA, 669 nt
Organism: Papaver somniferum (opium poppy)
Lineage: Eukaryota; Viridiplantae; Streptophyta; Magnoliopsida; Ranunculales; Papaveraceae
Exons: 3
Source: RefSeq, a predicted model, not a curated record
ACUAUCAUCUCAAAUUCUAAUUCUGGAUGCCUAAAUAACUCUUCAGGCACUUAAACACGUUGUAUCACAUUAUAAACCAGUCAAAGGGCGUUUUGGUAAGAAAACUCUUCUUUUCUUCAUUCAUUGUUUCUCUGCUCCACCUGAUUUUUCCUGUAGCUCCAAAACCCCAAUCAAUAAGUGAAUGAAGGAAUGUGAAUCAUUAAACGUUUGUUGUUUUAGGGUACUUGUGUUGAAGUAGGAUGGAAGGUUGCAAAUGGGUGGUCUUGCUGUGGAAUCACGAUUGAGUGAUUUGAGUCGGAAACUAGUGAACUCUAUUUUAGGACCGUCAGGCCCACUGGGGCACCCCACCACCUCGGUGGCUACCCGGAAGAUCGUUGAGGCAACGAUGGAUGGUAACCAGAACUACCCUGACGUUGGCUCUAGCCUUGUAAAGAGUGGAGUAAAUCUUGUCUGAACUUAAGUGAUCGGCAGCCUACAAAUUUUAAGAACGAUUAUUUUAUAUUUAUUUGUGAACUUCAUAUUUCAGUUUAAUGUUCUUAUUAGCUCGAUGUAGUAAGCCGAGGAAAGCUUACGGCGUAGAGCUAUGGACACGAUGUAGUAUAUAUUGUUGUUCUUAUACAUAAAUAUAAUGGGCUGGGUAGUUUUCUCUGGCUGCUAAAUUAUGCUGUC